RNAcentral lists this ribosomal RNA (497 nucleotides) under uncultured bacterium. RNAcentral's name for it is "partial 16S ribosomal RNA". It matches the Rfam family "Bacterial small subunit ribosomal RNA", at positions 28 to 507 of the family's 1533-position model. The record is from RNAcentral.
GACGAACGCUGGCGGCGUGCCUAAUACAUGCAAGUUGAGCGAUGAAGCUUGGUGCUUGCACCAAUUUGAAGAGCAGCGAACGGGUGAGUAACGCGUGGGGAAUCUGCCUUUGAGCGGGGGACAACAUUUGGAAACGAAUGCUAAUACCGCAUAACAACUUUAAACAUAAGUUUUAAGUUUGAAAGAUGCAAUUGCAUCACUCAAAGAUGAUCCCGCGUUGUAUUAGCUAGUUGGUGAGGUAAAGGCUCACCAAGGCGAUGAUACAUAGCCGACCUGAGAGGGUGAUUCGCCAAAUUGGGACUGGGACACGGCCCAAACUCCUACGGGAGGCAGCAGGAGGGAAACUUCGGCAAUGGACGAAAGUCUGACCGAGCAACGCCGCGGGAGGGAAGAAGGUUUUCGGAUCGGAAAACUCGGUUGGUAGAGAAGAAAGUUGGUGAGAGUGGAAAGCUCAUCAAGUGACGGUAACUACACAGAAAGGGACGGCUAACUACGUG